UACGUAGGGUGCAAGCGUUAAUCGGAAUACUGGGCGUAAAGCGUGCGCAGGCGGUUCUAUAAGACAGAUGUGAAAUCCCCGGGCUCAACCUGGGAACUGCAUUUGUGACUGUAGAGCUGGAGUACGGCAGAGGGGGAUGGAAUUCCGCGUGUAGCAGUGAAAUGCGUAGAUAUGCGGAGGAACACCGAUGGCGAAGGCAAUCCCCUGGGCCUGUACUGACGCUCAUGCACGAAAGCGUGGGAGCAACGGG
This 250-nucleotide ribosomal RNA is filed under the name uncultured bacterium. RNAcentral describes it as "partial 16S ribosomal RNA". It matches the Rfam family "Bacterial small subunit ribosomal RNA", at positions 524 to 776 of the family's 1533-position model. The record is from RNAcentral.